AAACUUUCAACAACGGAUCUCUUGGCUCUGGCAUCGAUGAAGAACGCAGCGAAACGCGAUAAGUAAUGUGAAUUGCAGAAUCCAGUGAAUCAUCGAAUCUUUGAACGCACAUUGCGCCCGCCAGCAUUCUGGCGAGCAUGCCUGUUCGAGCGUCAUUUC
This 159-nucleotide ribosomal RNA is filed under the name Beauveria bassiana. Its description in RNAcentral is "5.8S ribosomal RNA". It matches the Rfam family "5.8S ribosomal RNA". From Rfam's summary of the family: 5.8S ribosomal RNA (5.8S rRNA) is a component of the large subunit of the eukaryotic ribosome. It is transcribed by RNA polymerase I as part of the 45S precursor that also contains 18S and 28S rRNA. Functionally, it is thought that 5.8S rRNA may be involved in ribosome translocation. Lineage: Eukaryota; Fungi; Ascomycota; Sordariomycetes; Hypocreales; Cordycipitaceae. The record is from RNAcentral.